GAGACAUGCAAGUCGUGCGGAAAGGCCCUAGCUUGCUAGGGCACUCGAGCGGCGAAAGGGAGAGUAACGCGUAGGUUACCUACCUCCAGGACCGGGAUAGCGGCGGGAAACUGCCGGUAAUACCGGAUGACGUCUUUGGACCAAAGGUGUGAUUCCGCCUGGAGAGGGGCCUGCGUCCUAUUAGCUUGUUGGUGAGGUAACGGCUCACCAAGGCAAAGAUGGGUAGCGGGUGUGAGAGCAUGGCCCGUCUCACUGGGACUGAGACACUGCCCAGACACCUACGGGUGGCUGCAGUCGAGAAUCUUCGGCAAUGGACGAAAGUCUGACCGAGCGACGCCGCGUGCGGGAUGAAGGCCCUCGGGUUGUAAACCGCUGUCAGUUGGGAGGAAAGGAGUGUGAAGAGCACUCCUUGACCGAUCUUCAGAGGAAGGACGGGCUAAGUUCGUGCCAGCAGCCGCGGUAAGACGAACCGUCCAAACGUUAUUCGGUAUCACUGGGCUUAAAGCGUGCGUAGGCGGCUUGGUAGGUGUGAUGUGAAAGCCCACGGCUCAACCGUGGAAUUGCGUCGCAAACCCCCAAGCUUGAGGAAGACAGGGGUGUUGGGAACUUAUGGUGGAGCGGUGAAAUGCGUUGAUAUCAUAGGGAACACCGGUGGCGAAAGGCGCAACACUGGGUCUUUUCUGACGCUGAGGCACGAAAGCUAGGGUAGCGAACGGGAUUAGAUACCCCGGUAGUCCUAGCCGUAAACGAUG
RNAcentral lists this ribosomal RNA (752 nucleotides) under uncultured bacterium. RNAcentral describes it as "bacterial SSU rRNA". It matches the Rfam family "Bacterial small subunit ribosomal RNA", at positions 50 to 811 of the family's 1533-position model. The record is from RNAcentral.